Molecule: ribosomal RNA, 724 nt
Filed under: uncultured bacterium
Lineage: Bacteria
Description: bacterial SSU rRNA
Rfam family: Bacterial small subunit ribosomal RNA
Source: RNAcentral
AGCGGCGAACGGGUGAGUAACACGUAGGUGAUCUGCCCAUCAGACGGGGACAACGAUUGGAAACGAUCGCUAAUACCGGAUAGGACGAAAGUUUAAGGUGCUUCUGGCACCGCUGAUGGAUGAGCCUGCGGCGCAUUAGCUAGUUGGUAGGGUAAAGGCCUACCAAGGCGACGAUGCGUAGCCGACCUGAGAGGGUGAACGGCCACACUGGGACUGAGACACGGCCCAGACUCCUACGGGAGGCAGCAGUAGGGAAUCUUCGGCAAUGGGCGAAAGCCUGACCGAGCAACGCCGCGUGAAUGAUGAAGGCCUUCGGAUUGUAAAAUUCUGUUAUAAGGGAAGAACGACUUUAGUAGGAAAUGGCUAGAGUGUGACGGUACCUUAUGAGAAAGCCACGGCUAACUACGUGCCAGCAGCCGCGGUAAUACGUAGGUGGCGAGCGUUAUCCGGAAUUAUUGGGCGUAAAGAGCGCGCAGGUGGUUGAUUAAGUCUGAUGUGAAAGCCCACGGCUUAACCGUGGAGGGUCAUUGGAAACUGGUCGACUUGGGUGCAGAAGAGGGAGGUGGAAUUCCACGUGUAGCGGUGAAAUGCGUAGAGAUAUGGAGGAACACCAGUGGCGAAGGCGGCUUCCUGGUCUGUAACUGACACUGAGGCGCGAAAGCGUGGGGAGCAAACAGGAUUAGAUACCCUGGUAGUCCACGCCGUAACCACGAGUGCUAAGUGU